This 589-nucleotide unclassified non-coding RNA is filed under the name Carex microglochin. RNAcentral's name for it is "partial external transcribed spacer 1". The record is from RNAcentral. Lineage: Eukaryota; Viridiplantae; Streptophyta; Magnoliopsida; Poales; Cyperaceae.
UUCUGGACUCGCUCUGCAUGUCGGGCUCCCUGCACUUUUGGUGCGGCCAACCGACAUGGGGCUGUCCCCUCACUCUCCCUCCCGUCAUUGAAUUUGUCGGGUUGGGACGCUUGUGAUCGGUUGCCUGUGCGGUUCUACCCUCUUGUGGGUAGCGAAGUCGUCCCUCGAUGGAUAUUUGCUUGCCCUGCUGACAUUUUUUUGUCGUCCGGGCAGCCGAAAUGUUGGCGAAGUCCUUGCGUUGGCGCGCGGCUGAAUGCCUCGUUGCUAUCGCUCGGAUUUCUGCCGGCUCUCACGGAUGCGGUGCCCAGUGCUAGCUCUGCGGGACUUUGCCCCGCAGACUUCGGGAGGUCCCCUGCACGAAUCAUUGCUCUUAUACGCCGUCUGUCGUGUUGCCGGUGGCGGCACGCAGAUCGUGUUCUGCCGUGCCGUCGUUGGCGACGCGUCAGAACAGUGUGUCCGGAGCGUGCUCGCGUGCAUGUGGAAUGCCUCUCCGUCCGUAUGAGCAGCGAUUUCCGGUUUGCGUCACGCGAAGGCCCGCCCGUCCGGGUUGGUGCCGGAGCUGACGUGCCGGCUCUCGUUUAAGACGUGC